AUUAUAUUUGGUGGCAACUUAGUUGUUGACUUUGAUCUGUAGCUAUUCAGGCUCCUUGUAGCUUAGCUAUUUGCAAAAACACUUUGCCUUUUUUAGACACCAGAGGAACAGUUAGGGUUCCUUAGCGCUGAGCCUGUGCAGUGAGUAACGUGCAGCUGAGAAGCAUAAGACUGACAGCAGUGUUCUCUUCCUUUGUAGUGUGCUGGAACCAAAAUUUGUCAGGGUCAAAGCAUAAUGAUCCUCCAGUUACAGUGCAAGAGUGUAUUCCACGAGUAAUAAUUUGGACCAAAGCAAAAGAGCUACAAUGCAGCAGAAGAACGCUCCACCUUCUUGGAGUCUUUUCCUUUGUCUUCCUGUUUCCUUAGUACAUUGUUGGCAUGCCGAGGCAAGACACUGCUUUUAUCUUAUGACUGAUGCAAAGCUUCACCAUUAUUUCCGGAUAAUACAGAUGGUAGUAGAAGACUACGUGCACCCCUGGUGCCAGAUGAGUCACUCAGAGAGCAUCUGUGGAGGAGAGGCCACCAAUAGCAUCUGUGGAAGACAGCACCCAACAGUGGAUCAUUAACUAUCUACUGUCCAGAUUUACCAUCAUUUGUUACAAAUGAGGAGAAUUAAACAGAAAAAAAACAAUGAAACAUGUUUUCUACCCCAUGACAAAACAAACAAACAAACAAACAAAAAGGGGAAUUGUAGUAUAUCCUGGGGCGUAUGGAACUGGAUUAUGGCUCCUAUAUCUGAAGAAGAAAUGAUCAUAGUCACCUUACACUACUCUGUAAUAAAAUAUUUCCUCAAGAAAUAAAAAUAUUUC
RNAcentral lists this long non-coding RNA (808 nucleotides) under Numida meleagris (helmeted guineafowl). Its description in RNAcentral is "lncRNA (ENSNMEG00000006083.1)". The record is from RNAcentral. Lineage: Eukaryota; Metazoa; Chordata; Aves; Galliformes; Numididae.